GCCCUCCCUGUGUUCACAGCCUUUCUAAGUCCCGUGGAGUCUGUGACGUGGUGAUUUCUUUUGGUUCCUUUGCAGAAUUUAUCUGAUGUGAUGAAGAAACAUCGCUUUGGCUUCUCCUCCCCCUGUCAGAUGGCCAUCACCUUCCACAACCAGGGAGUCAUGGACAGAGCCCGCCGCGACCACAAUGACUUUCUGAAGAAGUCAGUGAGUGAUGGCAGAACGUUUCCCUCCUCUGAGAAGCUUGUAGUGCAGCGCAGGCAGUUGCUGGAGCGGUGCCGAAAGGAAAUGCUGCCGAAGACAGAGUCCCCGCUGAAUGCAGAGCUGAUGAAGGAGAAAGAGGCCCGGCUGAGGGAGCUGGAGGCAGAGCUGAUGUGGAUGGCUGAGUCCUUCAAGGCAACUAAUGAGAAGCACAAGAAGAUGGUGCUGAGAGUGGUCUACGCAGCUGCUCGUGCUGGGGUCUUCGCAGCUGCUGAUGCUGCUAGGGUCGUCAUAGCUGCUCAUGCUAGGGUCGUUGCAGCUGCUGAUGCUGGGCUCAUCGCAGCUGCUGAUGCUGGGCUCGUCGCAGCUGCUGGUGCUGCUAGGGUCGUCAUAGCUGCUCGUGCUGGGGUCAUUGCAGCUGCUGAUGCUGGGCUCGUCGCAGCUGCUGGUGCUGCUAGGGUUGUCAUAGCUGCUCGUGCUGGGGUCGUUGCAGCUGCUGAUGCUGGGCUCGUCGCAGCUGCUGGUGCUGGGGUCGUCGCAGCUGCUGGUGCUGGGGUCGUCGCAGCUGCUGGUGCUGGGGUCGUCGCAGCUGCUGGUGCUGCUGGGGUCAUCACAGCUGCUCGUGUUAGGGUCAUUGCUGGUGCUGGGGUCAUUGCAGCUGGUGGUACUGGGGUUGCAGCUGCUGGUGCUGGGCUCAUCAUAGCUGCUGAUGCUGGGCUCAUCGCAGCUGCUGGUACUGGGCUUGUCAUAGCUGCUGGUGCUGGGCUCGUCGCAGCUGCUAGGCUUUUCGCAGCUGCUCGUGCAGGAGUCGUCGCACCUGCUAGUGCUGGGCUACUCGCACCUGCUCGUGCAGAGGUCGUCGCACUUGCUGGUGCUGGGGUUGUCACACCUACUGGUGCUGGGGUCAUCGCACCUACUCGUGCAGAGGUCGUCGCACCUGCUCGUGCAGGAGUCGUCGCACCUGCUCAUGCAAGAGUCGUCACAUCUGCUGGUGCUGGGCUCGUCGCACCUGCUCGUGCAAGAGUCAUCGCACCUGCUGGUGCUGGGGUCAUUGCACCUGCUCGUGCAGAGGUCGUCGCACCUGCUCGUGCAGGAGUCGUCGCACCUGCUCAUGCAAGAGUCGUCACAUCUGCUGGUGCUGGGCUCGUCGCACCUGCUCGUGCAGGAGUCGUCGCACCUGCUGGUGCUGGGGUCAUUGCACCUGCUCGUGCAGGGGUCGUCGCACCUGCUCGUGCAGGAGUCGUCGCACCUGCUCGUGCAAGAGUCGUCGCAUCUGCUGGUGCUGGGCUCGUCGCACCUGCUCGUGCAGGAGUCGUCGCACCUGCUCGUGCAGGAGUCGUCGCAUCUGCUGGUGCUGGGCUCGUCGCACCUGCUCGUGCAGGAGUCGUCGCACCUGCUGGUGCUGGGGUCGUCACAGCUGCUGGUGCUAGGGUCGUUGCAGCUCUUGGUGCUGGGGUCACCGCGGCUACUCGUGCUAGGGUCACUGCGGCUACUCGUGCAGGAGUCGUCGCAGCUGCUGGUGCUGGGGUCAGCGCGGCUGCUCAUGCUGGAGUCACCGCGGCUACUCGUGCUAGGCUCAUCAUAGCUGUCAGUGUGGGGGUCAUCAUAGCUGUCUGGGCUAUUUUCAUCAAGUAUAACUGAGGGAACAGCUAUUGCUGCUGGUGCGGGCGGCAUAGCUGGGAUCUGGUCAGGCUUGGGUGAGGGGGAGAGGGACUCUAACCCCGAUAGCAAAGUUCGUUGUCUAACUGCGAGAGAGACAGGCAAUACCAGCAAGGUCCGAUCGAAAGCUCUUUAUUGACAAGUGCACGCAUCAAUAGAGAGCAGCUCGUCUCCGGAGAGAACCAGACUGCUCUUUAAAUCUUAGACUAAGCCUAUAUAGACAGUUCUGUCGCCUCAUAAAUUAUUCACUGGAGCAACCCACCCCCUUCUUCUAACAACUAGAAACUAGACACCUUUAGUAUACAGGCAUGCCUAAAGUUAGAAAUGUAGGGGAGUUAAAAACAAACAAAGAACAAAACCAGGGAGUGAAAACAAGGAGGCUGGGAAACUAGGGCUCUUAUCAGUUCUUCGAAGGAGCUGCCCGAACACAGCACAUCUGGUACUAUGCCAGGAAUGCAGCUUCUCUUAUCUCAUUUUUUCCCAGCGCUUGUGAGACAUGCUGCUGCUUCUCAGUGUUUUCCACUCAGGGAUUACCCACAAACCUCUGUUAGCCUGACUUUGGGCAGGUUGGCAUACCUGGUUUUGUCUGCUAUAUCUUUAUUCAGGCCUAACAUCCACAAACCACCCCAGAGUGGGGGAGUCGUCACCCACAGAUUCUAAGAAGGGACAUUGGUCCAACCCGCUCUUGAAACCCUCCAAUCCCUGUGUGACACCCAGGCCCAGCGCCACCCACCGGUGGAGGGUUCAGUGCCCAGUGUCAGCAACACCUAACAGGCCUGACAAACUUGCCGCACCUAACACACCGCUGUCACGGUAUUUAGCCAGUCCCUUCCAGUUCUAUGCGAUAGGUAUAUCUCCAUACGUUGUUAUAAACAGGUGUAAUCCUUCUUAGGCUUGCCCAGAAAUUACAGGCUAUUUGUACGCAAUACAGCCAGAUGGCUGCCCCACUGACCAAAAACAAACAGCCAAAUGCAGUUCAGUG
Molecule: long non-coding RNA, 2839 nt
Filed under: Gopherus agassizii (Agassiz's desert tortoise)
Lineage: Eukaryota; Metazoa; Chordata; Testudines; Testudinidae
Description: lncRNA (ENSGAGG00000001531.1)
Source: RNAcentral